UCGGUUAGACAACAGAGGAGUAUUAGAGGGUAGUCAGGUGGUAGUUAUAAUUUAAGGGUGAAGUUAAGAGGGUUUGUUAUCUACGGGAGGUGAAAUUCAUAGUAAAAUAUCAAAACCUGGGGGACUGUAUCGGCUUAGAGGCUAUAAACAUUUGGGCUUAGACUAGGAUUAGAUACCCUAUUAUUCCAUUUAUGUAAUAAGUUACUUGAGUAGUAAACAGUUAUGUUCUUGAAACUUAAAGGAUUUGGCGGUAUCCAAGUCUAGUUAGAGGAACCUGCUCUGUCAACGAUACUCCACGAAUCAUCUUACUUUUGCUUGUAGUAGUCAGUAUGUAUACCGCCAUUGUAAAAUAAUAUCAAUAGAUAUAUAUUUUAAUAGAUAUUCUAGAAUAUUAGGUCAAGGUGCAGCCUAUGUAAAAGUUGAAGUGGGUUACAAUAUGACUUAUAUUAGCGGAAUAAGGAUGUGAAAGAGUCCUUAGAAGUUGGAUUUAAUUGUAUGUUUGGUUUAACAAGACAAACUGAUAUUGCUCUAGGAUAUGUACAUAUCGCCCGUCGCUCUCACUAACUAAAGUGAGAUAAGUC
This 581-nucleotide ribosomal RNA is filed under the name Rapipontonia galene. Its description in RNAcentral is "partial 12S ribosomal RNA". The record is from RNAcentral. Lineage: Eukaryota; Metazoa; Arthropoda; Malacostraca; Decapoda; Palaemonidae.